UUCCUUUUCUGUUGGUUUAUCUUUGGAUCUCUCUCCAUGAAGGGUCCUGGCAUCCAUCUUCACAGGGAUACAUACUACCGAGCGAGCAGUUUCUCAAUGCUUGCUCAUUUCUCACCUGUCACUUCUUCCUUAGCUAAACUUACAGUGUAGGGCAAAGAUUGCUGAGCUAGGCAUUUGCCGUACAAUCCAGGGGUUGCCUCAGCUCUCAUUUAUCCUGACAAUGCCACUCAACACAGGGCCUGGCUCAUUUACCCUGUGAAUCUGUCAGCCAUCCCUUAGCUAGACCCAGGUUCCUACCUUCAAAUAUUCAGAGGUGAGCACAGAGCCAGUAGGAACUGCAGAAACCAGGAAGUAAACAGGACCAUUGUCCAAGUCAAAGUUAAGGUAGGGGACUGACGGAGUCCAAUCCCAAUGGAUAUAUCUACAAAACAGUUCUCCUACCUAAGGCUCCAAGAUCAUUGCAGAAGAGGGGCGGAAAGACUGUAAGAGCCAGAGCGUCAGGGAGUUGCUGUGAAACUGCCUCCUAGUAAUGGCAAAAGCUACAUGGACGGUGUACAUCUCACUAACUUGACUGCCUAAGCAAGAACUGAACAAGGCCAAUGGCAGUAGACGCCAAAGUGGACGGUGGAAAGCCUAUAUGAUCGCAACCCUAAACAGAGAACUCUUGGCGACUAGCUGAGGGUGGAGAAAUAGUCUCCCCUAGAGGAGAGCAUGCCAAUCGCUUACCCAAUACUAAAUGGUAAACACUGAAAACGCACACAUCAGUAACAUUAUAUAGACUGAGCAGAUUCUAUAUUCUAUAUGUAGGAGCAUGUGUGCGUGCGUGUGUGUGUGUGUGUGUGUGUGUGUGUGUGUGUGUGUGUGUGUGUGUGUAAAACAAUAGUUAUUGAAGAAAGAACAUGAAUUUGAAGAAGAACAAGGAGGAGCACCUAGGAGGUUUGGAAGGAGGAGGGGGAAGGGAAUAUGGUUUAAUUAUAAUCUCAAAAACUAAGAGAAAUACUUAAAAAAAAAAAACAGCUCUUCUCUCUGGAUUUCUGGUCAUCAAGGCUCUCUUGCACAAACAGCAGCUCUCCAUAAGUCAUACAGAAAACUGUCCUUUUCAAUGUUUUUUGCUUUUUCCCUGGGGGUGACGAUCCUUCACAUUCUCCUGUUUCCCCCAAAGCAGGAACGCCCCUGAAGACUGAGUUAUUAACCAUUGUUUUACACCUAUUCCCAUCCACAAAAACAUAAACCAUCCGCAGCUCCUAUUUGGGCAAGAGAGUAAAGAAAUAAAAUGGAGUCACAAAAGAAGGUUGAAGGGCUAGAAGAUUCAUAUUAAGACAAAUUAAGUUUUGAUAGAUAUUACUUUAAGCAUGAACAAAAGGCAGUACAAUAAUUAUUUUAAACUAAUUAUUCAGAGGAUCCUUUCAGCCUCCCAAAUAUUCAUUUAUUCAUGGGAGCGAUCCCACCCAAGCUCUCCACGGGCCUGCUGAGUCAUUAUCUUUCUGCAAUAUUCUAAUUAGCUCUAUUCAACAAUAAGUUAACUGGCAGAGGGCACUAAUAGGCUCCUUAAUGUAGAAAAAUGGUUUAUAUAAAUUUCAAACUAGUUUCUAAAUUUUUUCUUCUUUCCAAUUGGGAUUCUGGUGACAAGCUACAAUAAAAUCCUCUAAAUGUUA
Long non-coding RNA from Mus musculus (house mouse), 1655 nucleotides. RefSeq annotates it as predicted gene, 51756. The record is from RefSeq and is a predicted model, not a curated record. The transcript is spliced from 2 exons. NCBI's taxonomy places the organism in Eukaryota, Metazoa, Chordata, Mammalia, Rodentia, Muridae.